GCGCUGCGGGGAAAAUGCCAGUUCCAAAGACAGACCACCACCCCUGCCGCCCGCCCGGGCUGAGGGAGCGCGGCUCAGCCGGGUCCUUGUAACCUGUCUGCUGGAUGGUCCCAUGGACUCCUGACUGCUCUUACCUCUCCACGUGGCAGGAAACAGAAGGUGAUGUUUCCAAAGGAAGUGACCCACCUUGGAAGUCUAUCUCCUGGUUCUGGCUUUGGGCUAUCCAGUCUUGGAUGUGGAUUAGGCAGAGCACCUUGGAAACUCAGCUGAAGAUUGUGGAUAACUGGGGAGAAUAUUUGGAAUAAAGAAAUGAAAUGCAUGAGGGGAGUUUCAUGUUCCCAAGGGAAUGCUUCAGGGAUGUACAGCUUCUGAACUGCACAAUUCCCAGCCCAGGACUAAAGUUCCCUGGUGUUCCCUGAGUGGCUGCAGCUCCCUGGAUGUGGAGGGAGGUCUCUGCUGGAGAGUGGGAGAAAUGUCCCUGCUGGUUGCCUUGGUGGGCACAGAGCUCUGAUCUUGGCAAGAUGGGUUUCAAUGUGGCAUCAAUUCCAGUGAUGGGGAAAGGCUGGAAGAAGCUGGAUUUCACACAGUGGAGGCCGUGGCUUUUGGAACAGAGAAGGAGCUGCUGAACAUUAAAGGCAUCAGUGAAACCAAAGCUGACAAAAUUCCGAUAAGGAUGUUCUGGAGCUUUAACCCAAGAUAUUCCACAGGUUUAUUUCUGCUGGCUGAAAGCAGUGUGGUGAAUUUUUGAAGAUCUCCAAAGGGGAGUAGAGGUGAUUGGAGGUGUCACAUGACUUGUCACAGGAAAAGGUAAAAUGCACCAGCACAGGAUUGAGCUGAAGGGGAGGAUAUUUCCAUAAAACACACAAAAAGGAUGUUGGAGCUUUUCCUUGGAGCAGAAUUUCAGUUCUAUUCAGAGGUACCAACUCUUGUGAGGUCUAUGAAAUGUGCAUGGAAUGAUACAGGCACCUCUCCACAAGGCAGGAAAUAUUAAUUACUGCGGGUUAAUGAAUGGCAUGAGCUCUCCUGCAACUGCUCACUUGAGUUUUCCCACAGGCUGAGGCAGCCAAACUGGCUUCCAGGGUUUCACUACAGCACAGAAUUCCACCUGCAGUGGUCAGAGAUCAUCCAUAUCACCACUGGCUCCAAAGAGAUGGAAAAGCUGCUUCGAGGUCAGCAUUUUAUUAUUGCUCUUUCCUGCUUAAGCUCACUUAUUGGGUGGGAUUUUCCCAUGAGCUUGAUCUUUGCAUGGAACCACAUAGGACAAGUCUUGGUUGGAUUAAAAACCUCUAAAACUGC
Non-coding RNA from Lonchura striata (white-rumped munia), 1296 nucleotides. Lineage: Eukaryota; Metazoa; Chordata; Aves; Passeriformes; Estrildidae. The record is from RefSeq and is a predicted model, not a curated record.